AUCCAGCUGACGAGUUCCAAAUAGAACGAAACGAGCGUUCUGGAU
RNAcentral lists this non-coding RNA (45 nucleotides) under Schistosoma haematobium. The record is from RNAcentral. Lineage: Eukaryota; Metazoa; Platyhelminthes; Trematoda; Strigeidida; Schistosomatidae.